This 852-nucleotide ribosomal RNA is filed under the name Bulinus globosus. RNAcentral's name for it is "SSU rRNA". It matches the Rfam family "Eukaryotic small subunit ribosomal RNA", at positions 792 to 1661 of the family's 1831-position model. Lineage: Eukaryota; Metazoa; Mollusca; Gastropoda; Planorbidae. The record is from RNAcentral.
UGCCUGAAUAAUGGUGCAUGGAAUAAUGGAAUAGGACCUCGGUUCUAUUUUGUUGGUUUUCGGAACUGGAGGUAAUGAUUAACAGGGACAAACCGGGGCAUUCGUAUUGCGGCGUUAGAGGUGAAAUUCUUGGAUCGCCGCAAGACGAACUACUGCGAAAGCAUUUGUCAAGAAUGUUUUCAUUAGUCAAGAACGAAAGUCAGAGGCGCGAAGACGAUCAGAUACCGUCGUAGUUCUGACCAUAAACUAUGCCACCUGGCCAUCCGCAGGAGUUGCUUCGAUGACUCUGCGGGCGGCCUCCGGGAAACCAAAGGUUUUGGGUUCCGGGGGAAGUAUGGUUGCAAAGCUGAAACUUAAAGGAAUUGACGGAAGGGCACCACCAGGAGUGGAGCCUGCGGCUUAAUUUGACUCAACACGGGAAAACUCACCCGGUCCGGACACUGUAAGGAUUGACAGAUUGAUAGCUCUUUCUUGAUUCGGUGGGUGGUGGUGCAUGGCCGUUCUUAGUUGGUGGAGCGAUUUGUCUGGUUAAUUCCGAUAACGAACGAGACUCUAGCCUAUUAAAUAGUUCGCCGGUUCCUUGAUGCGCCGGCGACAACUUCUUAGAGGGACGAGUGGCGUUUAGCCACACGAAAUUGAGCAAUAACAGGUCUGUGAUGCCCUUAGAUGUCCGGGGCCGCACGCGCGCUACACUGAAGGAAUCAGCGUGGAUACCUCCCUGGCCCGAAAGGGUUGGGAAACCCGUUGAAUCUCCUUCGUGCUAGGGAUUGGGGCUUGUAAUUCUUCCCCAUGAACGAGGAAUUCCCAGUAAGCGCGAGUCAUAAGCUCGCGUUGAUUACGUCCCUGCCCUUU